UACGUAGGGGGCAAGCGUUGUCCGGAUUUAUUGGGCGUAAAGAGCGUGUAGGCGGCCAUUCAGGUCAGCUGUGAAAACUCGAGGCUCAACCUCGAGACGUCGGUUGAAACCGUUUGGCUAGAGUCCGGAAGAGGAGAGUGGAAUUCCCGGUGUAGCGGUGAAAUGCGCAGAUAUCGGGAAGAACACCCGUGGCGAAGGCGGCUCUCUGGGACGGUACUGACGCUGAGACGCGAAAGCCAGGGGAGCAAACGGG
This 253-nucleotide ribosomal RNA is filed under the name uncultured bacterium. RNAcentral describes it as "partial 16S ribosomal RNA". It matches the Rfam family "Bacterial small subunit ribosomal RNA", at positions 524 to 776 of the family's 1533-position model. The record is from RNAcentral.